This is a long non-coding RNA of Myodes glareolus (Bank vole), 1168 nucleotides long. RefSeq lists it as uncharacterized. NCBI's taxonomy places the organism in Eukaryota, Metazoa, Chordata, Mammalia, Rodentia, Cricetidae. The record is from RefSeq and is a predicted model, not a curated record.
CUGGAGCCAUCUUUAUCUCUCUCUGACUGCACACUGACCUCACCAGGAUUGUAUUCACCACCACCCCCCCCCAUAGACUCCUCAGCGGAUUUGUUGUGUGCUCUGCAUUCUUUCUCACUCAUACCAGAAACCAUGCCUAAAGAGGAGGCAUCGGCCUUGCCAUACUGGGAAGAAAGGUCCCCACGUGCAGCGUUAAGAAGUCUGCGGAGGCAGAUGACGGUGCAGCUUACUUCCUCAUGUCUUGACACUACAACUGAAGGGAGCAACAAAGCACCUUGGUCAAAGUUCUGCCAUUCUGACUUCAGACUCCAUUUUACCUGUAGGACAAAGUUCAGGUUCCCCAGAGAAACAGCUAAUCUGGGCUCAUAGGAACUCACUGUCUCUGAACUGAUAGCUAGGGAGCCUGCAUUGGACACAUCUAGGUGCUCUCCAUAGGUGACAGUUGUGUAACUUGGUCUAUUUGUGGGACUCCUAGCAGCGGGAUCAGGGCCUGUCCCUAAUGUUUGAGCUGACUUUUUGGAACUUAUUUCUCAUACUGGGUUACUUCACCCAGUCUUAAUACAAGGGGAGGAGCUUAGGCCUACCUCGACUUGAUAUGCCAUGCUUUGUUGACUCCCAUGGGAGGUCUGCUCCUUUCUGAACAGAAACAGGAGGAGUGGAUAGGGAGAAGGGCAGUAGGGAGGUGGGGGAUGGAAAUGGAGGAAAGGAGGGAGAGAAAACUGUGGUUGGAUAUAAAAUAAAUGAAAAAAUUAAUAAUAAAGUUCAGGUUCCCAAGCCCUAGGGUAGCUGAAACCUUUCCAAUGGCUGACCGACCACCUCCGUAAACCAUAGACAUAGUCAUUGUGUCUCUUUAGUUCUCUAGAACAUGGUUGUUCUUAACAGAGGGAACAAAGGAGUCUGGUUGGUUGGACUGAAAGGCUUGCAUUGUUUGUCAGUUGACGAUGAUGGAACUUCACACAAAGAAUGUCCCUAAUUUUUGAUUCCUGAUUGGUGAAAAUUGUAGCUGUAAUUUGACAAUAAAUGUCUGUAAUUUUAUGCUUAUAGACCCCUCUUCUGGCCUUGCUCAGGGCUGUCAGGAGAAACACAGCUUCCAAGUCUUUGUCCUGCAGCCAUCAGGACAUCCAUCAGUGACUGCUUAUGUGGUGAAUUAUUAAAAUAUUUGAGACCA